This 69-nucleotide transfer RNA is filed under the name Rattus norvegicus (Norway rat). It matches the Rfam family "tRNA". Rfam says of the family: Transfer RNA (tRNA) molecules are approximately 80 nucleotides in length. Their secondary structure includes four short double-helical elements and three loops (D, anti-codon, and T loops). The record is from Rfam by way of RNAcentral. Lineage: Eukaryota; Metazoa; Chordata; Mammalia; Rodentia; Muridae.
GGGGAUUUAGCUCAGUGGCAGAGCGCUUGCCUAGCAAGUGGAAGGCCCUGGGUUCGGUCCCCAGCUCCG